CUACGGAGGGGACUAGCGUUGUUCGGAAUUACUGGGCGUAAAGAGUUCGUAGGCGGACUGACAAGUAAGAGGUGAAAUCCCAGGGCUCAACCCUGGAACUGCCUUAUAAACUCCCGGUCUUGAGUUCGAGAGAGGUGAGUGGAAUUCCGAGUGUAGAGGUGAAAUUCGUAGAUAUUCGGAGGAACACCAGUGGCGAAGGCGGCUCACUGGCUCGAUACUGACGCUGAGGUACGAAAGUGUGGGGAGCAAACAGGAUUAGAAACCCUAGUAGUCC
This 274-nucleotide ribosomal RNA is filed under the name uncultured bacterium. RNAcentral describes it as "partial 16S ribosomal RNA". It matches the Rfam family "Bacterial small subunit ribosomal RNA", at positions 523 to 796 of the family's 1533-position model. The record is from RNAcentral.